UACGAAGGGGCUAGCGUUGCUCGGAUUGACUGGGCGUAAAGGGCGCGUAGGCGGUUCGUACAGUCAGACGUGAAAUUCCUGGGCUCAACCUGGGGCUGCGUUUGAUACGUGCGGACUUGAGUGCGGAAGAGGGUCGUGGAAUUCCCAGUGUAGUGGUGAAAUGCGUAGAUAUCGGGAGGAACACCAGUGGCGAAGGCGGCUCACUGGCCCGAUACUGACGCUGAGGCACGAAAGCGUGGGGAGCAAACAGGG
RNAcentral lists this ribosomal RNA (252 nucleotides) under uncultured bacterium. RNAcentral's name for it is "partial 16S ribosomal RNA". It matches the Rfam family "Bacterial small subunit ribosomal RNA", at positions 524 to 777 of the family's 1533-position model. The record is from RNAcentral.